AUUGAACGCUGGCGGCAUGCUUUACACAUGCAAGUCGAACGGUAACAGGCCGCAAGGUGCUGACGAGUGGCGAACGGGUGAGUAAUGCAUCGGAACGUGCCCAGUCGUGGGGGAUAACUACUCGAAAGAGUAGCUAAUACCGCAUACGAUCUAUGGAUGAAAGCGGGGGACCGUAAGGCCUCGCGCGUUUGGAGCGGCCGAUGUCAGAUUAGGUAGUUGGUGGGGUAAAGGCUCACCAAGCCAACGAUCUGUAGCUGGUCUGAGAGGACGACCAGCCACACUGGGACUGAGACACGGCCCAGACUCCUACGGGAGGCAGCAGUGGGGAAUUUUGGACAAUGGGCGCAAGCCUGAUCCAGCAAUGCCGCGUGCAGGAAGAAGGCCUUCGGGUUGUAAACUGCUUUUGUACGGAACGAAACGGCUCUGGUUAAUACCCGGGGCUAAUGACGGCACCGUAAGAAUAAGCACCGGCUAACUACGUG
This 482-nucleotide ribosomal RNA is filed under the name uncultured bacterium. Its description in RNAcentral is "partial 16S ribosomal RNA". It matches the Rfam family "Bacterial small subunit ribosomal RNA", at positions 30 to 507 of the family's 1533-position model. The record is from RNAcentral.